This 490-nucleotide ribosomal RNA is filed under the name uncultured bacterium. Its description in RNAcentral is "partial 16S ribosomal RNA". It matches the Rfam family "Bacterial small subunit ribosomal RNA", at positions 30 to 507 of the family's 1533-position model. The record is from RNAcentral.
AUUGAACGCUGGCGGCAGGCCUAACACAUGCAAGUCGAACGGUAACAGGAAGAAGCUUGCUUCUUUGCUGUAGAGUGGCGGACGGGUGAGACAUGUCUGGGACACUGCCUGAUGGCGGGGGAUAACUACUGGAAACGGUAGCUAAUACCGCAUAACGUCGCAAGCGCAAAGAGGGGGACCUUCGGGCCUCUUGCCAUCGGAUGUGCCCAGAUGGGAUUAGCUAGUAGGUGGGGUAACGGCUCACCUAGGCGACGAUCCCUAGCUGGUCUGAGAGGAUGACCAGCCACACUGGAACUGAGACACGGUCCAGACUCCUACGGGAGGCAGCAGUGGGGAAUAUUGCACAAUGGGCGCAAGCCUGAUGCAGCCAUGCCGCGUGUAUGAAGAAGGCCUUCGGGUUGUAAAGUACUUUCAGCGGGGAGGAAGGGAGUAAAGUUAAUACCUUUGCUAAUUGGCGUUACCCGCAGAAGAAGCACCGGCUAACUCCGUG